Molecule: long non-coding RNA, 804 nt
Filed under: Aedes aegypti (yellow fever mosquito)
Lineage: Eukaryota; Metazoa; Arthropoda; Insecta; Diptera; Culicidae
Description: lncRNA AAEL021740
Source: RNAcentral
UUAUUAGAAUAGUAUACAAGGGGUGGAUCACUUUUUCACUGCACAUCAAAUGUACAUCAAAUUGCAUUAAAUGCAUUUUUUCGAUAUUCACAUCAGCUUAGCACUGGUCCUUUUUAUCAUGCCGUGCUAUAGCAACGCAUUAUUGUUUGUUGUGAAAGGAUCAACAUUGUUUUACUGUCUCAGAUGCUCAAGCUGUAGCUUCAGAACGAAUAUGUUAUACAAAGCUUUCUCGAGCCCACGGCAAUCCGGUUAUGGAUCCUUGAAACGAACAGCGUCCGAUCAUCCCAUAUUAACAAGUUUUGUUAGUACACAGUGCAGUUCAUGAGUUAGAGGAUGAUAACUUGAAAAAAGAAAUCAUCGUUCCACAUCCCUGUCGGAACCAUCUUCCUGAGAAACGCACAUACUGUGCCUUAAUAAUGAUGACGGUGGAACAACCAACAAAAGCCUCGAAAAUUAUUUGUCUAAAUAGCUUGUUUUAUUUCUUUCAACAAUAAAUUCUAGACUAUAUGUAUAAAAGCAUUAUCCUUCUUAUUUCUACAUUGCUUCCAAAAAUCUUUCCUAAUACAAAAAUGUUCAGGUUGCUAUUGAACGUAUAUACGGAACAUAUUUUUGCUGAAAUAAUUUCAUAAUAUUGGCCAUGAGUAACAGCAAAUGAACAGAUCUUUAGGUCAUAAAUCAAGUACCACAGCGUGUGAAAAGCUACUUCCGGAUAACUACUUCUAUAACAGAGCGCAAGAGAGCUACGCUUUUGAUUUGAUUCUAUGCAUUAGCAGCUUUGACGAAUAAAACAACCACUAAUCAUUA